Molecule: ribosomal RNA, 514 nt
Filed under: uncultured bacterium
Lineage: Bacteria
Description: bacterial SSU rRNA
Rfam family: Bacterial small subunit ribosomal RNA
Source: RNAcentral
AACUAACGCUGGCGGCGUGCCUAACACAUGCAAGUCGUACGAGAAAGCCGGCUUCGGCUGGUGAGUAAAGUGGCGCACGGGUGAGUAACGCGUGGAUAAUCUGCCCUUAAGUGUGGAAUAACGUACCGAAAGGUGCGCUAAUACCGCAUAAUGCCUGGCAACACAAGUUGUCCGGCCAAAGAAGGCCUCUGUUUACAAGCUUUCGCUUCAGGAUGAGUCCGCGUACCAUUAGCUUGUUGGUGGGGUAAUGGCCUACCAAGGCUGCGAUGGUUAGCUGGUCUGAGAGGAUGAUCAGCCACACUGGAACUGAGACACGGUCCAGACUCCUACGGGAGCAGCAGUGAGGAAUAUUGGUCAAUGGGCGGAAGCCUGAACCAGCCAUGCCGCGUGCAGGAUGACGGCCUACGGGUUGUAAACUGCUUUUCCCCGGGCGAAUAACCCCUCGCCGAGGGGGAGUGGCCGGUACCGGGGGAACGUAAGGAGUACGGCUAACGUCCGUCGCCACGCAGCCGAC